RNAcentral lists this ribosomal RNA (483 nucleotides) under uncultured bacterium. Its description in RNAcentral is "partial 16S ribosomal RNA". It matches the Rfam family "Bacterial small subunit ribosomal RNA", at positions 32 to 507 of the family's 1533-position model. The record is from RNAcentral.
UUUAACGCUGGCGGCAGGCCUAACACCUGCAAGUCGAGCGGAUGAAGGGAGCUUGCUCCUGGAUUCAGCGGCGGACGGGUGAGUAAUGCCUAGGAAUCUGCCUGGUAGUGGGGGAUAACGUCCGGAAACGGGCGCUAAUACCGCAUACGUCCUGAGGGAGAAAGUGGGGGAUCUUCGGACCUCACGCUAUCAGAUGAGCCUAGGUCGGAUUAGCUAGUUGGUGGGGUAAAGGCCUACCAAGGCGACGAUCCGUAACUGGUCUGAGAGGAUGAUCAGUCACACUGGAACUGAGACACGGUCCAGACUCCUACGGGAGGCAGCAGUGGGGAAUAUUGGACAAUGGGCGAAAGCCUGAUCCAGCCAUGCCGCGUGUGUGAAGAAGGUCUUCGGAUUGUAAAGCACUUUAAGUUGGGAGGAAGGGCAGUAAGUUAAUACCUUGCUGUUUUGACGUUACCAACAGAAUAAGCACCGGCUAACUUCGUG